GACGAACGCUGGCGGCGUGCGUAAUACAUGCAAGUAGAACGCUGAAGCUUGGUGCUUGCACCGAGCGGAUGAGUUGCGAACGGGUGAGUAACGCGUAGGUAACCUGCCUGGUAGCGGGGGAUAACUAUUGGAAACGAUAGCUAAUACCGCAUAAGAGUAGAUGUUGCAUGACAUUUGCUUAAAAGGUGCAAUUGCAUCACUACCAGAUGGACCUGCGUUGUAUUAGCUAGUUGGUGAGGUAACGGCUCACCAAGGCAACGAUACAUAGCCGACCUGAGAGGGUGAUCGGCCACACUGGGACUGAGACACGGCCCAGACUCCUACGGGAGGCAGCAGUAGGGAAUCUUCGGCAAUGGACGGAAGUCUGACCGAGCAACGCCGCGUGAGUGAAGAAGGUUUUCGGAUCGUAAAGCUCUGUUGUAAGAGAAGAACGAGUGUGAGAGUGGAAAGUUCACACUGUGACGGUAUCUUACCAGAAAGGGACGGCUAACUACGUGCCAGCAGCCGCGGUAAUACGUAGGUCCCGAGCGUUGUCCGGAUUUAUUGGGCGUAAAGCGAGCGCAGGCGGUUAGAUAAGUCUGAAGUUAAAGGCUGUGGCUUAACCAUAGUACGCUUUGGAAACUGUUUAACUUGAGUGCAAGAGGGGAGAGUGGAAUUCCAUGUGUAGCGGUGAAAUGCGUAGAUAUAUGGAGGAACACCGGUGGCGAAAGCGGCUCUCUGGCUUGUAACUGACGCUGAGGCUCGAAAGCGUGGGGAGCAAACAGG
This 765-nucleotide ribosomal RNA is filed under the name uncultured Streptococcus sp. RNAcentral describes it as "bacterial SSU rRNA". It matches the Rfam family "Bacterial small subunit ribosomal RNA", at positions 28 to 776 of the family's 1533-position model. The record is from RNAcentral. Lineage: Bacteria; Bacillati; Bacillota; Bacilli; Lactobacillales; Streptococcaceae.